CACCAUUAGAAUCAGAUAACAAGUCAGAAGAAAACGACGUUAUAUAUACACUACAUCAAUCGACUUAAAGUAAGCCUGCGCAAAGUCAUUUUUAUCUUUUGAUAUUUUUAUCUGUUGUUAAAUUGGUGAAUCAAAGCUGUAAUAAUAAUAAUAAUUGCCGUGGUAGAGUUGUAUUUCAUUAUAACUACGUGUACAGUGUUACAAGCAAGCACUUCUAAUUGCAUAAAUAGGGCAAUAAGAGAUUUCGUUGUUUUUCAUUCAUUUUUGUUGGAAUCUUUUUCUGCUUUAAACCGGGAAUUUUAGUUCGUGAAGAACAAAGAGUGAAUUUUUCUUAAGAUCAUUCAAAACUUCAAUUGUUCUAAAAAACUUUGCAAAAACACCUCGACAGCCGAGAAAUAAAACAAAUCAACAUCGAAAAUGGUCAACCGAUGCUGUUCAAUCCUCUUAUGUUUGCUACUGCCACCACUAGCAGUUUGUAUGGACAGAGGUUGCGGAUGCGAUACCCUGAUCAAUAUUUUACUUUGCGUUUUUGGACUGUGGAUUGGUGGAAUCAUUCAUGCGUUCUGCGUAACAAAUUCAUUGGGCAGACAUGAUUGAAUCAAGUGAAUCGAAAACACAUUUUUUUUGUAUUAAUUCAUAAAAACAGACGUACAGAGUGUCAACAUUGUCUCAAAUUUGAAAAUAAAAAUUGCUUUGAAUAACCG
Long non-coding RNA from Bradysia coprophila, 704 nucleotides. RefSeq lists it as uncharacterized. The record is from RefSeq and is a predicted model, not a curated record. NCBI's taxonomy places the organism in Eukaryota, Metazoa, Arthropoda, Insecta, Diptera, Sciaridae.